This 1113-nucleotide ribosomal RNA is filed under the name uncultured archaeon. RNAcentral describes it as "bacterial SSU rRNA". It matches the Rfam family "Archaeal small subunit ribosomal RNA", at positions 94 to 1207 of the family's 1478-position model. The record is from RNAcentral.
UAACACGUGGAUAACCUACCCUUGGGACUGGAAUAACCCCGGGUAAACUGGGGAUAAUACCGGAUAGAUCAGGGAUUCUGGAAUGCACCUUGAUCCAAAGCUCCCGCCCCCAAGGAUGGGUCUGCGGCCUAUCAGGUAGUAGUGGGUGUAACGUGCCUACUAGCCAACGACGGGUACGGGUUGUGAGAGCAAGAGCCCGGAGAUGGAUUCUGAGACACGAAUCCAGGCCCUACGGGGUGCAGCAGGCGCGAAACCUUUACAAUGUGCGAAAGCAUGAUAAGGGAACUCCGAGUGCCAGUAUCUAAUACUGGCUGUCCUUGUGCCUAAAACGCACAAGAUAGCAAGGGCCGGGUAAGACCGGUGCCAGCCGCCGCGGUAGCACCGGCGGCCCGAGUGGUAGCCGCUAUUAUUGGGUCUAAAGGGUCCGUAGCCGGUUCGAUAAGUCCUCUGGGAAAUCUGGUUGCUUAACAAUCAGACUGCCAAGGGAUACUGUCGAACUUGAGACCGGGAGAGGUAAGAGGUACUUCAGGGGUAGGAGUGAAAUCUUGUAAUCCCUGGGGGACCAUCUGUGGCGAAGGCGUCUUACCAAAACGGGUCUGACGGUGAGGGACGAAAGCUGGGGGCGCAAACCGGAUUAGAUACCCGGGUAGUCCCAGCCGUAAACGAUGCUCGCUAUGUGUCAGGUACGGUGUGACCGUAUCUGGUGCCGUAGGGAAGCCGUGAAGCGAGCCACCUGGGAAGUACGGCCGCAAGGCUGAAACUUAAAGGAAUUGCCGGGGGAGCACUACAACGGGUGGAGCCUGCGGUUUAAUUGGAUUCAACGCCGGAAAUCUUACCGGGGGAGACAGCAGCAUGAAGGUCAGGCUGAAGACCUUACCAGAUCCGCUGAGAGGAAGUGCAUGGCCGUCGUCAGUUCGUACUGUGAAGCACCCUGUUAAGUCAGGCAACGAGCGAGACCCGUGCCCACAGUUGCCAGCAUACCCUUCGGGGUGAUGGGUACUUUGUGGGGACCGCCGCUGCUAAUGCGGAGGAAGGAGCGGGUUACGGUAGGUCAGUAUGCUCCGAAACUCCCGGGCUACACGCGGGCUACAAUGGUUGGGACAAUGGGAAUCA